GACGAACGCUGGCGGCGUGCCUAACACAUGCAAGUCGAGCGAAUGAAGUUCCUUCGGGCCUGGAUUUAGCGGCGGACGGGUGAGUAACACGUGGGCAACCUGCCUCAUAGAGGGGAAUAGCCUUCCGAAAGGGAGAUUAAUACCGCAUAAGAUUGUAGUAUCGCAUGAUACAGCAAUUAAAGGAGCAAUCCGCUAUGAGAUGGGCCCGCGGCGCAUUAGCUAGUUGGUGAGGUAACGGCUCACCAAGGCGACGAUGCGUAGCCGACCUGAGAGGGUGAUCGGCCACAUUGGGACUGAGACACGGCCCAGACUCCUACGGGAGGCAGCAGUGGGGAAUAUUGCACAAUGGGGGAAACCCUGAUGCAGCAACGCCGCGUGAGUGAUGACGGCCUUCGGGUUGUAAAGCUCUGUCUUCAGGGACGAUAAUGACGGUACCUGAGGAGGAAGCCAUGGCUAACUACGUG
This 464-nucleotide ribosomal RNA is filed under the name uncultured bacterium. RNAcentral's name for it is "partial 16S ribosomal RNA". It matches the Rfam family "Bacterial small subunit ribosomal RNA", at positions 28 to 507 of the family's 1533-position model. The record is from RNAcentral.